GAUGAACGCUAGCGGUAGGCUUAACACAUGCAAGUCGAGGGGUAACGUGUUGGAAGCUUGCUUCCGAUGACGACGACCGGCGGAUGGGUGCGUAACGCGUAUGCAACUUGCCUCACAGUGGAGAAUAACCCGGAGAAAUCCGGACUAAUACUCCAUACACUCUUAAGUACGCCUGUACAUGAGAGGAAAGAUUUAUCGCUGUGAGAUAGGCAUGCGUCCUAUUAGGUAGUUGGUGAGGUAACGGCUCACCAAGCCGACGAUAGGUAGGGGUGCUGAGAGGCCGACCCCCCACGUUGGGAGUCAGACACGGCCCAAAUACGUACGGGAGGCAGCAGGGAGGAAUAGUGGUCAAUGGAGGAAACUCGGAACCAGCCAAGUCGCGUGAAGGAAGAAUGUCCUAAGGAUUGUAAACUUCUUUAGCGAGCGAGUAAGGACUUCCACGUGAUGGGAGUUUGAAAGUAGCUCGAGAAUAAGUAUCGGCUAACUCCGUG
Molecule: ribosomal RNA, 491 nt
Filed under: uncultured bacterium
Lineage: Bacteria
Description: partial 16S ribosomal RNA
Rfam family: Bacterial small subunit ribosomal RNA
Source: RNAcentral